This 1224-nucleotide unclassified non-coding RNA is filed under the name uncultured fungus. Its description in RNAcentral is "sequence contains 18S rRNA gene, ITS1, 5.8S rRNA gene, ITS2, 28S rRNA gene". The stretch from base 380 to 1224 matches the Rfam family "Eukaryotic large subunit ribosomal RNA", at positions 1 to 961 of the family's 3401-position model. The record is from RNAcentral. Lineage: Eukaryota; Fungi.
GGAAGGAUCAUUAUUGCACUGAAAAGUCUCUUACGUGUGUCUGUCGUGUCCGGUAUUUUCGAUUAUGAAAAAUGGUUUAUUUCAACAUAUACAACAAUCAUGAGUCCAAGCAAUGGAUAUCUUGGUUCCCACAACGAUGAAGAACGCAGCGAAAUGCGAUACGUAAUGUGAAUUGCAGGGUUAAGUGAAUCAUCAAAUGUUUGAACGCAAGUUGCGCCGCUUCGGCGGCAUGCUUCUUUGAGUGUCGGUUUCCAUCUGUUGGACGAUUUGCUAAAAAUUGCCCUUGUUCAAAUUUGUUCAUGUCGGUUGAAAGAUUUGAUAUAUGGACAAAAUUGUUUUUGGUGGUGUCACAAAACAACAUCAACGAAACUUAAUACAAUGACCUCAAAUGAAGUAAGACGACCCGCUGAAUUUAAGCAUAUAAUUAAGCGGAGGAAAAGAAACUAACGAGGAUUCCCUCAGUAACGGCGAGUGAAGCGGGAAGAGUUCAAACCUGGAAUCGUCUCACGACGAAUUGUGGUGUGUAAACGCGUGUCUCAGUGGCUGUGCCGAUGGAAGUCGAUUGGAAAAUCGCAUCAGAGAGGGUGAAAAUCCCGUUCGACAUUGGAUCCGCAGUCACGUUCGAGCCGUUGUUUUUGAGUCGGGUUGCUUGGGAGUGCAGCCCUAAGUGGGUGGUAAAUUCCAUCUAAAACUAAAUAUGUGUGGGAGACCGAUAGCGAACAAGUACCGUGAGGGAAAGAUGAAAAGAACUUUGAAAAGAGAGUUAAAAGUACUUGAAAUUGUUUGGAUUGAAGGGAUGACGCCCAGUCGGUCAGGAUGGCUUGCUGGCGGGUUUGUUGCGCUCGGCGGGUAGGUAGCUCCUUCGCGGGAGUGUUUAGCCCCGGGCGCAAAUCCUGCCGGUGAGCGAGGUCGUGGAUAGAUCCUGACAAAAUGGUCGUCAUUCACCCGUCUUGAAACACGGACCAAGGAGUCUUACAUGUGUGCGAGUGUUAGUGUGAGGAAGCAUUAUCGCGUAAUGAAAGUGAAUUCGUUCAAACGAGGGCGACUACGGUACGACCCGGAGCAUACAUGCAGGGACCCGAAAGAUGGUGAACUAUGCCUGGGCAGGAUGAAGCCAGGGGAAACUCUGGUGGAGGUCCGAAGCGAUACUGACGUGCAAAUCGUUCGUGUGAGCUGGGUAUAGGGGCGAAAGACUAAUCGAACCGUCUGGUAGCUGGUUCCCUC